This 2359-nucleotide long non-coding RNA is filed under the name Olea europaea (common olive). RNAcentral describes it as "long non-coding RNA (OEUR_LNC015608)". The record is from RNAcentral. Lineage: Eukaryota; Viridiplantae; Streptophyta; Magnoliopsida; Lamiales; Oleaceae.
AGCAACUUAAACAAACGGUAAAAAAAAAAUCUACAAAAGUAAUGUUAAAGAUCGUAAGAUUUUAGCAGUGUUCUUUGAGCUACUCAAUUGUUUUCCGAUGUUAGCUGGAAAAAGCUGAGAAACAGUACAGAAAAAUCCAACCUGCAUAUCCAACCAACUAUAUAUAUAUAUAAUCCAUGAAAGACACGACAACCAGAGAAACAAAAAGAAAAUUCAAAUUGAACUGAUAUGAACUAAAUUACUAACAAAGUAAAUCUCAAACAACAAAAACCAGCACAAGAUCCCCGAAAUAAUAUAUAAACAAAUCCUCCUUAUAAAAACACCCAGUACACCAAACAAAAAUAAAUCCAGUUCAUGAAAAACUUGAAAAAUUCACGGAGAGAAUAAAUAACCCACGUAUAUAUAAAUCUAACUGUACAUGCAAUUAAAUCACAUAAGAUUGAAUCUUGACCAUAACCCAUAAGGAAACUAUAUAUUUCUAUACAUAUGAUGCAUAAGAGAUGAAAACACAGAGAGAAACAUACCAAAUGAAGCUGACCUUGUAAGACAUAACUGCGACAUGCAUCAAUGAUAGAAAAGUCGUUUCUUGAAAAUCUAAUUAAACCAAUCAAAACCCAAUAUCAGAUGGGUUUUUCUGCUUAAAUUAAUGGUUUCAGCAGUGAUGGAAGUAAAUAAGAAAAAGGCUUAAAUUUUUUAGGGAAACAUAUAGAGAAGCUAGCUAUAAAUCUAAUACCAGAACCACAAACUACUUGCCCCAGUCUCAUGUCAUAGCUAAAACACAUCAAUUUAUGAGAACUUCUGAAAGGCACAAGAAAAAGACAUAAAAAAGAUUAAGGAAAUACUGAAUCUGAAACCCCCAUGUAUGAAGGUGACAACUCAAUUCUGUGAAACAAAAACUUCAUUUGCACUCAACGCCGACUUCAGCAGCACGCCUAGGCUUAUUUUUCCUCCUGCUUCUAUUUGGUCUGAACCCAACGGACUUGAUCAAGUCAGAAGCGUUAGUUUUGAUUCCCACGCCAUUUUCCUCUUUCACUAAAUCUGCAUUUUCAUUGACUUGAGAAGGCCUUAUCCUUUUUCGGCCUUUCUCUGUAGCAGCUAGAUUCUUAGUACUUCUAUUCAAUCCGGAACUUUUCGAAUCCUGGCCAUUUUCUUCCUCUUCUUCUAUCUUCUUGACUUCAUCUUCUUCCUCAAAUUCAUCCUUCAAUGGUUUUUGUGGCCUUCCUCUUCUCCUAGAUGGUAUCUUCUCAUCCUCGCCACUUCCAACAUCAUCACGAGCAGCAAUAGCCGAUUGUUUCUUACCUUUUCCUCUUCCUCUACCCAUUUUUCAAAUCAGCAACUUAAACAAACGGUAAAAAAAAAUCUACAAAAGUAAUGUUAAAGAUCGUAAGAUUUUAGCAGUGUUCUUUGAGCUACUCAAUUAUUUUCCGAUGUUAGCUGGAAAAAGCUGAGAAACAGUACAGAAAAAUCCAACCUGCAUAUCCAACCAACUAUAUAUAUAUAUAAUCCAUGAAAGACACGACAACCAGAGAAACAAAAAGAAAAUUCAAAUUGAACUGAUAUGAACUAAAUUACUAACAAAGUAAAUCUCAAACAACAAAAACCAGCACAAGAUCCCCGAAAUAAUAUAUAAACAAAUCCUCCUUAUAAAAACACCCAGUACUCCAAACAAAAAUAAAUCCAGUUCAUGAAAAACUUGAAAAAUUCACGGAGAGAAUAAAUAACCCACGUAUAUAUAAAUCUAACUGUACAUGCAAUUAAAUCACAAAAGAUUGAAUCUUGACCAUAACCCAUAAGGAAACUAUAUAUUUCUAUACAUAUGAUGCUUAAGAGAUGAAAACACAGAGAGAAACAUACCAAAUGAAGCUGACCUUGUAAAACAUAACUGCGACAUGCAUCAAUGAUAGAAACAGUCGUUUCUUGAAAAUCUAAUUAAACCAAUCAAAACCCAAUAUCAGAUGGGAUUUUCUGUUUAAAUUAAUGGUUUCAGCAGUGAUGAAAGUAAAUGAGUAAAAGGCUUAAAUAUUUUAGAGAAAAAUGAAAAGAAGUUUGAUAUGGGUGAGAAAAACGAAGGCCAUAUGUCUGAGAUGUAAAAAUAUUCAGAAAAUGGGUUGAGAUUUGAAGAGAUCCAUGUAGUUUUGUAUUGACGAUUAAAGAAAAAGGCUAAGGCAAAGCGCUAAGGGAGGCAAGACUGCAAGAAGAGAAGCGUGGCGAAGAAAAAAGGGUAUUUAUUUUUAUUUGAUGGGUUGUUUGGGAAAUUAGGGUAGAGUGUGAAUGAAGGUAAAAUUGAUCUUUUUUUAACAAUAAAAUUAUGAGAACAUAAUAAAAGGAGAAAAGAUCUGGCCAAUAUAUAAUUGGUGGG